RNAcentral lists this ribosomal RNA (431 nucleotides) under Xerocrassa mesostena. RNAcentral describes it as "partial 16S ribosomal RNA". It matches the Rfam family "Archaeal large subunit ribosomal RNA", at positions 1920 to 2665 of the family's 2987-position model. Lineage: Eukaryota; Metazoa; Mollusca; Gastropoda; Stylommatophora; Geomitridae. The record is from RNAcentral.
AGCUAGGUGUUUUUAAUACUUGGUUACUUCUGCUCAAUGGUAAGCUAAAUAGCCGCAGUACCCUGACUGUGCAAAGGUAGCAUAAUCAUUUGGCUUAUAAUUGAAGUCUGGCAUGAAAGAAAUUAUGGGUAGCAACUGUCUUCUAUAGAUUCUUAGAAUUUACUGAGUAGGUGAAAAUUCCUGCGGAUUAAUAAUAGACGAGAAGACCCUAGAAAUUUUAAUAUAAAAGCAUUUUAUUAAACUUACUAUUUUGUUGGGGCGACAGAAUAACAAUUGAACUUAUUUUAAUUAAUUUGUACUAAUUUUUGAGAAAAACGAAAUUACUCUAGGGAUAACAGCAUAAUUUACUAAAGUUUGUGACCUCGAUGUUGGACUAGGGUUUUUAAUAAUCAGAAGUUAUUAAAUUAGGCUCUGUUCGAGCUUUAUUCCCU